UUAGAGUUUGAUCCUGGCUCAGGACGAACGCUGGCGGCGUGCCUAAUACAUGCAAGUCGAACGCGUCCCGGUUGAUGAAGUUGAGUGCUUGCACUUGAUUGAUUCAACUUGGUGACGAGUGGCGAACUGGUGAGUAACACGUGGGUAACCUGCCCCGAAGCGGGGGAUAACAUUUGGAAACAGGUGCUAAUACCGCAUAACAACCAAAAUCACCUGGUUUUGGCUUGAAAGACGGCUUCGGCUGUCACUUUGGGAUGGACCCGCGGCGUAUUAGCUAGUUGGUGAGGUAACGGCUCACCAAGACAAUGAUACGUAGCCGACCUGAGAGGGUAAUCGGCCACAUUGGGACUGAGACACGGCCCAAACUCCUACGGGAGGCAGCAGUAGGGAAUCUUCCACAAUGGACGCAAGUCUGAUGGAGCAACGCCGCGUGAGUGAUGAAGGGUUUCGGCUCGUAAAACUCUGUUGUUGGAGAGGAACGGGUGUCAGAGUAACUGUUGACAUCGUGACGGUAUCCAACCAGAAAGCCACGGCUAACUACGUGCCAGCAGCCGCGGUAAUACGUAGGUGGCAAGCGUUGUCCGGAUUUAUUGGGCGUAAAGCGAGCGCAGGCGGUUUUUUAGGUCUGAUGUGAAAGCCUUCGGCUUAACCGGAGAAGUGCAUCGGAAACCGGGAGACUUGAGUGCAGAAGAGGACAGUGGAACUCCAUGUGUAGCGGUGAAAUGCGUAGAUAUAUGGAAGAACACCAGUGGCGAAGGCGGCUGUCUGGUCUGCAACUGACGCUGAGGCU
RNAcentral lists this ribosomal RNA (790 nucleotides) under uncultured bacterium. RNAcentral describes it as "bacterial SSU rRNA". It matches the Rfam family "Bacterial small subunit ribosomal RNA", at positions 1 to 753 of the family's 1533-position model. The record is from RNAcentral.